GACGAACGCUGGCGGCGUGCUUAACACAUGCGAGUCGAACGGAAAGGCCCUGCUUUUGUGGGGUGCUCGAGUGGCGAACGGGUGAGUAACACGUGAGUAACCUGCCCUUGACUUUGGGAUAACUUCAGGAAACUGGGGCUAAUACCGUAUAGGAGCUCCUGCUGCAUGGUGGGGGUUGGAAAGUUUCGGCGGUUGGGGAUGGACUCGCGGCUUAUCAGCUUGUUGGUGGGGUAGUGGCUUACCAAGGCUUUGACGGGUAGCCGGCCUGAGAGGGUGACCGGCCACAUUGGGACUGAGAUACGGCCCAGACUCCUACGGGAGGCAGCAGUGGGGAAUAUUGCACAAUGGGCGGAAGCCUGAUGCAGCAACGCCGCGUGCGGGAUGACGGCCUUCGGGUUGUAAAACGCUUUCGCCUGUGACGAAGCGUGAGUGACGGUAAUGGGUAAAGAAGCACCGGCUAACUACGUG
RNAcentral lists this ribosomal RNA (468 nucleotides) under uncultured bacterium. Its description in RNAcentral is "partial 16S ribosomal RNA". It matches the Rfam family "Bacterial small subunit ribosomal RNA", at positions 28 to 507 of the family's 1533-position model. The record is from RNAcentral.